Molecule: unclassified non-coding RNA, 243 nt
Filed under: uncultured fungus
Lineage: Eukaryota; Fungi
Description: partial contains 5.8S ribosomal RNA, internal transcribed spacer 2, and large subunit ribosomal RNA
Rfam family: 5.8S ribosomal RNA (bases 1-52)
Source: RNAcentral
AACGCACAUUGCGCUCCCUGGUAUUCCGGGGAGCAUGCCUGUUCGAGCGUCAUUAUCAACCAUCAAGCCCCGCUUGGUAUUGGGUGUCGUCCCUGCUGUGGACGCGCCCUAAAGUAAUUGGCGGUGGUGUUGAACCUCAAGCGUAGUAAAUUCUUUAGCUUCUAGGUGAUACGUCGCUUUGCCUCGAGAACCCCACAUCUCAAGGUUGACCUCGGAUCAGGUAGGGAUACCCGCUGAACUUAA